UACGUAGGGUGCAAGCGUUGUCCGGAAUUAUUGGGCGUAAAGAGCUCGUAGGCGGUUUGUCGCGUCUGCCGUGAAAGUCCGGGGCUCAACUCCGGAUCUGCGGUGGGUACGGGCAGACUAGAGUGAUGUAGGGGAGACUGGAAUUCCUGGUGUAGCGGUGAAAUGCGCAGAUAUCAGGAGGAACACCGAUGGCGAAGGCAGGUCUCUGGGCCUUACCUGACGCUGAGGAGCGAAAGCGUGGGGAGCGAACAGG
Molecule: ribosomal RNA, 253 nt
Filed under: uncultured bacterium
Lineage: Bacteria
Description: partial 16S ribosomal RNA
Rfam family: Bacterial small subunit ribosomal RNA
Source: RNAcentral